AAUCAAAAAUGGCGACUGAGUUGAACAGGAGAACCAGGACACUCCAAAAAGGGCAGGUGGCUGCUGGGAAGCUACUCCAGGAA
Long non-coding RNA from Nothoprocta perdicaria, 83 nucleotides. RefSeq lists it as uncharacterized. The record is from RefSeq and is a predicted model, not a curated record. NCBI's taxonomy places the organism in Eukaryota, Metazoa, Chordata, Aves, Tinamiformes, Tinamidae. The transcript has 2 exons.